UCGGUAAUUCCAGCUCCAGUAGCGUAUAUUAAAGUUGUUGCAGUUAAAAAGCUCGUAGUUGGAUUUCUGGCUUGAGACGCCUGGUCCGCCGAGGUUACUCGUGUGAGUACCGGUGUGUCUCUGCCAUCCUUCUGGAAAACGUUUCUACCCUUCAUUGGGCCGGGAUCGUGAUCCAGAUCAUUUACUUUGAAAAAAUUAGAGUGCUCAACACAGGCUUGCGCUAUGAAUACAUUAGCAUGGAAUAAUAAUUUAGGACUUUGGUUCUAUUUUGUUGGUUUCUAGGACUGAAGUAAUGAUUGAUAGGACCUGUUGGGGGUGCUAGUAUUUAUCGGCCAGAGGUGAAAUUCUUGGAUUCGAUAAAGACUAACUUAUGCGAAAGCAUUCACCAAGGAUGUUUUUUUUAAUCAAGAACGAAAGUUGGGGGAUCGAAGACGAUCAGAUACCGUCGUAGUCUCAACCAUAAACCGUGCCGACUAGGGAUUGGUGAACGUCUUUUUUUCGACUUCAUCAGCACCUUAUGAGAAAUCAAAGUUUUUGGGUUCCGGGGGGAGUAUGGUCGCAAGGCUGAAACUUAAAGGAAUUGACGGAAGGGCACCACCAGGAAUGGAGCCUGCGGCUUAAUUUGACCCAACACGGGAAAACUUACCAGGUCCAGACAUAAUAAGGAUUGACAGAUUGAAGAUCUUUCUUGAUUUUAUGGGUGGUGGUGCAUGGCCGUUCUUAGUUGGUGGAGUGAUUUGUCUGGUUAAUUCCGUUAACGAACGAGACCUCGACCUGCUAAAUAGUUCGGCGAAUUCUUCGGAAUUCGUACGUGACUUCUUAGAGGGACUAUCGGUGUGUAGCCGGUGGAAGUUCGAGGCAAUAACAGGUCUGUGAUGCCCUUAGAUGUUCUGGGCCGCACGCGCGCUACACUGACACGUUCAUCGAGCUUAUAACCUUGGCUGAGAGGUCUGGGUAAUCUUUAAAAACGUGUCGUGCUGGGGAUAGAUUAUUGCAAUUAUUAAUCUUGAACGAGGAAUUCCUAGUAAACGCGAGUCAUCAGCUCGCAUUGAUUACGUCCCUGCCCUUUGUACACACCGCCCGUCGCUACUACCGAUUGAACGCUUUAGUGAGUACCACGGACUGGUGCGUUUGGUUGGGUUUCCAGCCUUGCGUGUCGGAAAGUGGUUCAAACUUGAUCAUUUAGAGGAAGUAAAAGUCGUAACAAGGUAGCCGUA
This 1217-nucleotide ribosomal RNA is filed under the name uncultured eukaryote. RNAcentral's name for it is "partial small subunit ribosomal RNA". It matches the Rfam family "Eukaryotic small subunit ribosomal RNA", at positions 576 to 1807 of the family's 1831-position model. The record is from RNAcentral.